Molecule: non-coding RNA, 221 nt
Filed under: Xanthomonas translucens
Lineage: Bacteria; Pseudomonadati; Pseudomonadota; Gammaproteobacteria; Lysobacterales; Lysobacteraceae
Source: RNAcentral
CACUAUCUUGUGGUGGUCGGUUCCAGCGGCCACCAGGCUGCGGGAUCAAAAGGGAAGCCGGUGCGGCGCGCGAGCGCUCAGGCCGGCGCUGCCCCGCAGCGGUAAUUGGGAACGAACCCGUCACCCGCACUGAGGCGCCUGCCUUGGGAAGCGAUGGGCUAGGAACCGGCCAUCGGCCGUCGCCCAUAAGCCCGAAGACCUGCCGACAGCCGCGCGAUGCA